AUAUUGGCGUUGCUUCGCGGCGCCACCGUUACCCUUGAGUCGUGUUCCUCCCUUAUCCAUCCCAACCCAAAGAUAUAUGUGGACGCCACUCUGGAGCGCGUGUCCAAAUUAAUACUCCCAGCAAGAGCAUCAUCAUCCCUGGUCACCGCAGCGUGGUCUGGGGCUAUACGAUUCUCUGGCUCCUGCUUGUUGCGAAUCGGAUUCUGCAAAGAAGAGGGGUUGACUGUAUUCCGGCCUUCCGGGAGUUCGAAAAUUCUUGGUUUCUUGAUGUGUAUACUGCUACCUUGCAAUGAAAACGGGUGGCAAGAAGGGAAUUCUGUGAGGCUGUGAGCACAUGGUUGCCAGAGGUGCGUCCGCCCCCGUUCUGUAGCCCGGAAGAUGUGGUCUCCGUUGCAUGACCUUUAAUGAGUUGCUACGUGGUCAGCUCUAGCGGCGUUGCGAUCUGGUUCGCCGUAGAGGAGAGGAUCGGGCACCGGAGGUUUUGCGCAUGCAAGAUGUUCGAUGUCGGUCCCCAGAGGAGAAGGGUGGGGAGGCGCCUGGUGGGUUUUGCCAAGAAGAGGAGGCGUUCCAAGAGGCAGCAGCCAUGGUGGAAGGCGUGGUUCUCUGAUUGGAACGAUGAGGAAGAGAGCCUCGCCGGCUGGAGGGAGGAUGAUGAAUUGCUCCAGCAGGUUGUUAGCAACGAAGACCUGUCGGAGGAUGACAAGUUUCAGACGUGGAAGAGCAAGGCAGAGGCGAUUGUCGACCUGCGGGAAGCCCAGCAGGGUGCCGAAAAUGCAGAAGGGCGGUCAUGGGAGGAUUGGAUAGGUUGGGGCAGCACGUCCGGCGAUGGUGAUUGGGGCGGGGGUGGGAGCUUGUCGGACCAGAUAACUGAUGAUCCGACGGAGAUAGUGAGGGACAAGGGCAUCGCUGAAGCUUUUAGGGACUCUAAUGAUGAAGAUUACAACGACAUGUUGUUUGAGGACCGGGUUUUUCUAUACGCUUCGACGAAAUCGGCCAAAUUCCUAGCAUUGUUGAUCGUUGUUCCAUGGGUGUUGGAUCUUCUAGUACAUGACUAUGUUAUGAUGCCAUUUCUAGACAGGUAUGUCGAGAAGGUACCACUCGCCGCUGAAAUGCUUGAUGUAAGACGCAGCCAGAAGAUUCAGAUGAUAAAGGACCUAAAUAUUGAGAAAGCAAGAUUCCGUUUUGAAGUAGAGAUUGGUAAAUCUCCUCCACUUUCCGAUGAGGAGUUCUGGUCAGAGUUGCGGGAAAAAGCGGUAGAGCUGAGGGAUGAAUGGAGAUUAGAAAACCGACAAGCAUUUGCAAAUAUCUGGUCUGAUAUGGUUUAUGGGGUUGCCCUAUUCCUUCUUAUGUACUUUAACCAGAGUAAAGUUGCAAUAAUAAAGUUCACAGGAUAUAAGUUGCUAAACAAUAUCUCAGACAGUGGGAAGGCUUUUCUUAUCAUUUUAGUGUCAGAUAUCCUUCUAGGCAUCUAGCUGCAAUAUCACAGGUACCAUUCAGAGGCAGGUUGGCAUUCAUUAGUGGAAAUUAUUCUUGACCACUAUGGACUGGAAACCGAUCAAGCUGCAGUCACCUUUUUCGUUUGUCUGGUUCCAGUUGCCCUGGACGUAUUUAUAAAGUUUUGGGUGUACAAAUACCUUCCAAGAUUAUCACCUAGUGUGGGAAACAUCUUGGAUGAAAUAAGGCGUCACUAGGAAUUCUUUCCAUCAGGAAUUUUAGUUCCUUCCUUUAGGAAAUUGCUAGUAGAAUUUCACAAUCCAGGUAUGUAUUGACUUGCAUGUACUGUUGGCUCCUACUUGUGUUGCUGCCAAUGUUUGAUAAAUAGUGAAAAAAUUACCUGUGACUGAUAUGGUUAUUCAUUCACCCUUCAAAUAUAUUUUUUGGUGAAAGCCCUUAAAUUAUAUUGAAGCUGGUUUCUGCAGUAUGCCGUUACCAAUUAUUCUGAUGAGAAAAUUAAUAAUAGCUGGUAAAUUGCAAGUGUAAUUUAACGCAA
This is an RNA transcript of Triticum aestivum (bread wheat), 1990 nucleotides long. It is a transcript of the gene named chloroplast envelope membrane protein, with no coding region annotated. The transcript has 7 exons. Lineage: Eukaryota; Viridiplantae; Streptophyta; Magnoliopsida; Poales; Poaceae. The record is from RefSeq and is a predicted model, not a curated record.